GCAUAACACCACUUGAACAAAGAAAGGAGGGGGAAAUUGCACCACAUCAGUGAAGACCUGCUUUAAGGCUGUUCAGUUCUGCAAGAAAGGAAAGAGGAGGAAGAGACUGGCUCAAAUCUCUGGAGGACCCCCUGCGGUCAGCUGUGGGGCAUAACACCACUUGAACAAAGAAAGGAGGGGGAAAUUGCACCACAUCAGUGAAGAUCCACCUCCAGUGGCAGCUCUGGUGGUGCUGGAGUUGCUGCUGACCACCACCCUCAACAGGUCUGCACCCACCCAGGAACCAUUCAUCCUCCCCCAGCUUGGUUGUGCCUCUUCUCCACUAUAUCUAUAUAAUUGACUGAGACUGUGUUUGGUUAGGAGCCUGAUUGACUACUGGAUUGGCAAUUGACUCUAUAACUCUUAUUUCCAACUUUAUCUCCUGGAUCAUCAAAAGAUCAGUGUGUGAAGAUAAAAAUCUGUGACAGAUCUGUUGUCAAAUCUGGGACAGUGUUAAAGGUCCUUGAUCGAG
RNAcentral lists this long non-coding RNA (511 nucleotides) under Sciurus vulgaris (Eurasian red squirrel). Its description in RNAcentral is "lncRNA (ENSSVLG00005017308.1)". The record is from RNAcentral. Lineage: Eukaryota; Metazoa; Chordata; Mammalia; Rodentia; Sciuridae.